UAACCAGUUAGGUUGAGCCCAUGUUAACAUCCCUGCUUGUGGUGUGUCGGAGGUGAAUUCGGCUCUUUGGGUCGUGGUUGGAUUAGAUCUAGGUUUUCACCUUUCUAGAUCUGCUCUCGUUACGGCGGUGGGAGCGCGUGACCGAGAUUGGGCUUCUCCUCUCUCCGGAUCUGGUGGGUUGACGUCAAUCUUCAGGCUGGGUAGGAGUCUUCCGGCGUCGUGGGUAGCUUCGUCUGCUCAGUGUCGAGCAGCGUAUGUCUUCCUCUCUGUUUGCGGUUUAGUUGGCCUUCAGUGUGUCUCCGGAGGCGCGUCCUCAGUUGGUGAUGGUUGCUGUGUGGUAACGUUAGCUACUGUGCUGUUCGUGAGGCGCUGCCGGGUUCGGAUUCAAGGCGGGCCCGUCUAUGACCUGCUCUUUUGACUCCUUCGAUGGUUGUUUCAGCUUCGCUCUCUCGGUAUGCUGUCUGCUUUGAUUGUUCAUGGUGGUUUUCUUCCUCUCCGGCUCAUCGUAGUUACACUUUGGUUCUCCCACGGUGGUGUAGCUCGGAUGAGGCUUAUUGGAGCUAGGGCUGGUUUUCAGUGUUAGCGCGAGUUGGCGAUUCUUGAGUUCCUAUUGGUCAUGGGAAGGAUGGUUUCGUCGAGGGAGGCUCGUGCAAGGAUAUGUCAUCCCAGCUCCUUUGGUUCGAGCCACUUUGGCUCGCAAAGGAGGGUGUUUCCUUGGUCUAAUUUGUAGGAUAGGAAGAACGACAUCGGUAUGUGGCUCUCACCAAGCCCGCUUUCUGCUGUGGCUCGCAUUAGUUUCUGAAGUCGAGUAAAUAAAUGUUGACUUCUUGAGGUUUGGGUGGGACUAACCUGAUGGCGCUCUUGGAGCUCUCGGCUAGAGUAGAGGUGUCUGGCUUCGAACUUCAGUGUUUCCUAUUGCCGGUGGUAGUUGGGAGGCUUUGGUUUCCUUUGACUCAGUUUACAAAGCUGUCCGGAGAUGGUAUCAAUUAUUUGGAGUAGCACUACGGGGAAGCCAAAAUUACCAAAGCGUGGUCUCAUGUAUUAUAAAAGGUAUCAUCAACAUUUGGCAAUGUUCUAUUGUGGUCAAGCGACUACAACUUGUAGUCUUCUGUUAAAAUGUGUUUUCAUUGUCCCAAAAAUCUUAGUUGUUGCUUAUUCUUUUCUUUCCAUGUUGUUUAGUUUAAUUUCUCUGCUACUUAUGUCUGUGUAAUUUCUGUCAAAAACUCUGAAAAUUGGUAUAAAUCUUAACAUUUUUAUCAAAAAC
RNAcentral lists this long non-coding RNA (1264 nucleotides) under Brassica napus (rape). RNAcentral describes it as "long non-coding RNA (BNAP_LNC020239)". Lineage: Eukaryota; Viridiplantae; Streptophyta; Magnoliopsida; Brassicales; Brassicaceae. The record is from RNAcentral.